UACGUAGGGCGCAAGCGUUAUCCGGAAUUAUUGGGCGUAAAGAGCUCGUAGGCGGUUUGUUGCGUCUGCCGUGAAAGUCCGGGGCUCAACUCCGGAUCUGCGGUGGGUACGGGCAGACUAGAAUGAUGUAGGGGAGACUGGAAUUCCUGGUGUAGCGGUGAAAUGCGCAGAUAUCAGGAGGAACACCGGUGGCGAAGGCAGGUCUCUGGGCAUUAACUGACGCUGAGGAGCGAAAGCGUGGGGAGCGAACAGG
Molecule: ribosomal RNA, 253 nt
Filed under: uncultured bacterium
Lineage: Bacteria
Description: partial 16S ribosomal RNA
Rfam family: Bacterial small subunit ribosomal RNA
Source: RNAcentral